CACGGGGGGAGCAAGCGUUGUUCGGAAUCACUGGGCGUAAAGGGCGUCUAGGCGGUCAGGUAAGUGGGAUGUGAAAUCCCUCGGCUCACCCGAGGACCGGCAUCUCAUACUGCUUGGCUUGAGUACGGGAGAGGAUGUGGGAAUUCCUGGUGUAGCGGUGAAAUGCGUAGAUAUCAGGAGGAACACCGGUGGCGAAGGCGCACAUCUGGCCCGAUACUGGCGCUAAAGCGCGAAAGCUAGGGGAGCAAACGGG
RNAcentral lists this ribosomal RNA (253 nucleotides) under uncultured bacterium. RNAcentral describes it as "partial 16S ribosomal RNA". It matches the Rfam family "Bacterial small subunit ribosomal RNA", at positions 524 to 776 of the family's 1533-position model. The record is from RNAcentral.